RNAcentral lists this unclassified non-coding RNA (350 nucleotides) under soil metagenome. Its description in RNAcentral is "partial contains 5.8S ribosomal RNA, internal transcribed spacer 2, and large subunit ribosomal RNA". The stretch from base 1 to 120 matches the Rfam family "5.8S ribosomal RNA", at positions 35 to 154 of the family's 154-position model. The record is from RNAcentral.
GAUGAAGAACGCAGCGAACUGCGAUAAGUAAUGUGAAUUGCAGAAUUCAGUGAAUCAUCGAGUCUUUGAACGCACAUUGCGCCCCCUGGCAUUCCGGGGGGCAUGCCUGUCCGAGCGUCAUUGCUGCCCUUCAAGCCCGGCUUGUGUGUUGGGUCGUCGUCCCCCCCGGGGGACGGGCCCGAAAGGCAGCGGCGGCACCGCGUCCGGUCCUCGAGCGUAUGGGGCUUUGUCACCCGCUCGAUUAGGGCCGGCCGGGCGCCAGCCGGCGUCUCCAACCUUCUAUUUUACCAGGUUGACCUCGGAUCAGGUAGGGAUACCCGCUGAACUUAAGCAUAUCAAUAUGCGGAGGA